AUGGCGCCGGCGGCUCUGCGGCUUCCAGGUCGCGGUGGAGCAGCUCAAGGCGCCGGCGGCUCGGCGGUGGCAGGUCGCGGGAAGCAACGUGGCCCGCGGUGGAGCAGCUCGACGCGUCAGCGGCCAGGUCGUGGGCAGCUGCGUGGUAGGCGGUGGAGAAGCUCGACAGGCCGGUCGAUGGCGGCGCCGGCUCGAGGUGGUGGCGGUGUGGCCGGCCUCGGCGGGAAGACGGGGCUCGUCGGGCCCGUGCACCUUUUCAUGGUGGCGGUGUGGCCGACCUCGGCGCCGGCCUCGAGGUGGUGGUCCAUGGCGGCGCCGGCUCAAGGUGGUGGCGCCGGCGUCGGCGCGGAGGCGGGGCUCCUCCAGGUGGGCGACGGGCUCGGUCCAGGUGGAGUCCUUGCCGGCCGCGCCUGCUGCUCCUUGCCGGCUGGCAGAGAGAGAGAGAGAGAUAAGGGAGAGAAGGAGGAGGAGGAGGAAGAGAUAACUGACAUGUGGGCCCCACAUGUCAGUUAA
Molecule: ribosomal RNA, 513 nt
Filed under: Triticum aestivum (bread wheat)
Lineage: Eukaryota; Viridiplantae; Streptophyta; Magnoliopsida; Poales; Poaceae
Description: partial small subunit ribosomal RNA
Source: RNAcentral